GACGAACGCUGGCGGCGUGCUUAACACAUGCAAGUCGUACGGUAAGGCCCUUUCGGGGGUACACGAGUGGCGAACGGGUGAGUAACACGUGAGUAACCUGCCCACAACUUUGGGAUAACGCUAGGAAACUGGUGCUAAUACUGGAUAUGUGCUCCUGCUGCAUGGUGGGGGUUGGAAAGCUCCGGCGGUUGUGGAUGGACUCGCGGCCUAUCAGCUUGUUGGUGGGGUAGUGGCCUACCAAGGCGGCGACGGGUAGCCGGCCUGAGAGGGUGACCGGCCACAUUGGGACUGAGGUACGGCACAGACUGCUAAGGGAGGCAGCAGGGGGGAAGAUUGAACAAUGGGCGCAAGCCGGAUGCAGAAAGGCCGCGUGCGGGAUGACGGCCUUCGGGUUGUAAACCGCUUUCAGCAGGGACGAAGCUUUUUGUGACGGUACCUGCAGAAGAAGCACCGGCUAACUACGUG
RNAcentral lists this ribosomal RNA (465 nucleotides) under uncultured bacterium. RNAcentral describes it as "partial 16S ribosomal RNA". It matches the Rfam family "Bacterial small subunit ribosomal RNA", at positions 28 to 507 of the family's 1533-position model. The record is from RNAcentral.